Molecule: long non-coding RNA, 397 nt
Organism: Oxyura jamaicensis (ruddy duck)
Lineage: Eukaryota; Metazoa; Chordata; Aves; Anseriformes; Anatidae
Exons: 2
Source: RefSeq, a predicted model, not a curated record
CAUCUCCUCUUUCCCCAGACCUGUACCCUCGCAGGGGAAGCAAUGGGGUGAACUAGAUUGCUGCCCCUAUCUGGGUUAAAAGAAGCCCUGCCAAAAACAAAUAAACAAACAAACAAACAAAAUGCACAGAUAUUGGAUAAACCUAAUCAGCUUAGUGGAGGGAAUAAGAAAUGCUCUGACAGUGGGAUCAUUUGUUCUCCAGAGACAUAAAUCAUCCUCGUGGGUUUAUACUAAGAAUACAGAGGUGAACUGAACCCAUUCUGGAGAGCCUUGAAAGAUUUCUCAGGGGCCAAGAAAGUAAGAAGAACAGCAUGAGACACCAAAGGGAAAAAGAAACAGCAGGAUGUAUAACACCAGAUUUCAAGGACUUUCAAAGUCAGCCUCUGCAGCAGAAAAA